CUAACACAUGCAAGUCGAACGGUAACGAAAGGCGGAGCUUGCUUCUUUGCUGACGAGUGGCGGACGGGUGAGUAAUGUCUGGGAAACUGCCUGAUGGAGGGGGAUAACUACUGGAAACGGUAGCUAAGCAGUGACGUCGCAAGACCAAAGAGCUGCCACCUUCGGGCCUCUUGCCAGACGUCCCAGAUGGGAUUAGCUAGUAGGUGGGGCUCAUUGUCACUACAGCGACGAUCCCUAGCUGGUCUGAGAGGAUGACCAGCCAUACAGCGAACUGAGACACGGUCCAGACUCCUCGGAAGCAGCAGUGGGGAAUAUUGCACAAUGGGCGCAAGAAAGCCGCAGCCAUGCCGCGUGUAUGAAGAAGGCCUUCGGGUUGGAAAGCCUACUUUCAGCGGGGAGGAAGGGAGUAAAGUUAAUACCUUUGCUCAUUGACGUUACCCGCAGAAGAAAGCCCACCG
Molecule: ribosomal RNA, 458 nt
Filed under: uncultured bacterium
Lineage: Bacteria
Description: bacterial SSU rRNA
Rfam family: Bacterial small subunit ribosomal RNA
Source: RNAcentral